RNAcentral lists this ribosomal RNA (399 nucleotides) under uncultured bacterium. RNAcentral's name for it is "bacterial SSU rRNA". It matches the Rfam family "Bacterial small subunit ribosomal RNA", at positions 356 to 773 of the family's 1533-position model. The record is from RNAcentral.
GGGGAAUAUUGCACAAUGGGCGAAAGCCUGAUGCAGCAACGCCGCGUGAGCGAUGAAGGCCUUCGGGUCGUAAAGCUCUGUCCUAUGGGAAGAUAAUGACGGUACCAUAGGAGGAAGCCCCGGCUAACUACGUGCCAGCAGCCGCGGUAAUACGUAGGGGGCAAGCGUUAUCCGGAAUUACUGGGCGUAAAGGGUGCGUAGGCGGUUUAUCAAGUCAGGGGUGAAAGGCUACGGCUCAACCGUAGUGAGCCUCUGAAACUGGUGAACUUGAGUGUAGGAGAGGAAAGUGGAAUUCCUAGUGUAGCGGUGAAAUGCGUAGAUAUUGGGAGGAACACCAGUGGCGAAGGCGGCUCUCUGGACCGAUACUGACGCUGAGACGCGAAAGCGUGGGUAGCAAAC